This 1903-nucleotide long non-coding RNA is filed under the name Sus scrofa (pig). RNAcentral's name for it is "lncRNA (ENSSSCG00015022369.1)". The record is from RNAcentral. Lineage: Eukaryota; Metazoa; Chordata; Mammalia; Artiodactyla; Suidae.
UGGAGGUUCCCAGGCUAAGGGUCUAAUCAGAGCUACAGCCACCGGCCUGUACCACAGCCAUAGCAAUGCCAGAUCUGAGCCACAUCUGGAACCAACACCAGAGCUCACGGCAAUGCCGGAUUGUUAACCCACUGAGCAAGGACAGGGACCGAACCCGCAACCUCAUGGUUCCUAGUCGGAUUCGUUAAACACUGUGCCACGACGGGAACUCCAGGUUACAUUCUUAAGGGACAGAAAAGCGUCUUUCUCCCCCUCCUCCCUGCUCUGCUUUCAAUUCCUCACCUCACUCCAAUACACCAGCCAUAUAUAUAUAGAUGUUGGAGGUUCCCAGGCUAAGGGUCUAAUCAGAGCUACAGCCACCGGCCUGUACCACAGCCAUAGCAAUGCCAGAUCUGAGCCACAUCUGGAACCAACACCAGUAACCCACUGAGCAAGGCCAGGGAUCAGACCCGCAACCUCAUGGUUCCACUGCGCCAUGACGGGAACUCCACACCAGCCAUUCUAAAUAAUCACAUCCAGCUUCUAACCAGCCAGACCGCCUCUGGCCUCUGAUUCAUUAAAAACCACAGAACACUCAGCUUUUCCUAGCCAUCCUUACCUCUUUAAGGUCCUCUUUUUUCUUCUAUUAUUCUUUUCUUUUAAAGCAUAACUUUUCCUUAGCAGCCCAAGGUGGGAAUAUUCAAAUGCUAGUGAUUUUUGUCCCUGUGCAGAGGCUUUGCUGGAUCCCCAGGUGUUGGGUCUUCCCGAGGGUGGUAUGGGGACAGAGCGUGCCCAAACAGAGGAGGAGGUGUGACCCUCCAGCUCCCACUCUAAGCUGUGCAGGGAACGGGAAGAGCAUUAGACCAGGUUGCAGGUAAAGACCUUGGUCCAGACACAACCAUUCAAAUCGAUAAAUUUCCUUUACUGCCAACUUGUUUCUAAUUUCCUGCCUCUUUUCUGCUACGGUGGCAGAAAUGCAAUCACAGUUUUCUCAGGGAUUUCUCCACCUUCCUCUGAGAAAUUUAUAAAUUUGGGGGACUGGAAAGUUUAAAUGGUGCUAAAGCCAGACGUAUAUACUCCAUCUCCCCUUCUCACCACCUCUCUGCCAGCUCAACAGCAGGAGCAGACUCAGGCAAAAUCCAACAUUCCCCCAAAAUGGCAUUGUGAAGGUAAAACAAAAUCAGGCAACUAAAGCUGUAUAAUUAAGAAAAACAAACAAAUUUGGUGCACUGGUGAUUCUUAAGACCAGUCGUCCAAUGACUUGGAUUCUGAUUGACUCACACUUGCCCCCAGUGGCCCCCAGUGGUAAUACAACAUCUUGCCUCCCUGCCUCCCCAUCCCAACAGAAGCUAAUUGCCCCAGAUGCCACCCGACCCCAGCUGGCCAAUUAGACUUUCUCCCUCAGAAUGAUGCCCUUGGGACCAGAGAAAUAGGUAUUGGUUGCUGUUGGAGCAGCAUCCCAAGGGAAGAGGUCUACGAACUCGUCCUCUGAAGCCCCUGGAGCUGUCCCACCUCCUGUCCCCACUCCAGGCUUGGAGGUUUGGCAACUCUCACUUACAUGAACUGACCCAGCAUUCUUCCUGUUUUUCCUUUUUUUGUUGUUAUUAUUAUUUGUUAAGGGCCACAGGGGCAUUUAGCAACUCUGGAAUAAUUUUUUAUUGGUUUAGGUCAGUUCUGGUUUGUAUGUGUUAAAACAUACAUACCCUGAGAGUUUGGGGUGAGUAGAUGCAAACUAUUGCAUGUGGAGUGGAUAAGCAAUGAGAUCCUGCUGUACAGCACAAGGAAAUAUAUCCAAUCACUUGUGACGGAACAUGACGGAAGAUAAUGUGAGAAGAAGAGUCUGUAUGUAUAUAUGACUAGGUCAUUUUGAUAUAUAGCAGAAGUUGACGGAACAUUGUAAAUCAACUAUAAUAAAAAAAAUUAG